GGGACACUCGGCCUCGAUGCUGAAGUUUCCACAGAUCUCAUAUGCAUGGAACCAGCAGUAGAACGUGAUGAGAGCAAUGUCCAAGAACCCAAAUUUCUCACCCUCAAAAUAUGGCUUGUCUCCAAGCUGUCCCUCCAACUGCUUCAGGAUUUCGAUGAAGUCCUUUUUUGCUGCCUCUUGUUCCUCUCCCUUUGUCAUCCAUAUCUUCGUGCAAGCAUCAUAUAGCUGCAAUUUUAAGACAAGAUUGCAUCAGAUCAUUGCUAUAGCGAGUUCAGUGGGAUUAAUUAAAUUUUGACUUCUUUUCUAAUUCCCGCGGCUAUAUUUGUUUAGGGUUUUGUAAGUUCCAAUGAUUGAACUUAAGUAGCAAGAAAUGGAUCACAAAAUAGCAGAGAUCACAAAAGCCGUUCAUGAAAAUUAACGAGGCAUGCAAGAUAGAUUUGUAAAGAAAGUCAGGAAUUCUACCGUAAAACUAAUUGAUAAUAUAGAAAGUAGCUCAAUUUAUUUAUAAGCCCACGCAAGUUCUUUUAUUAAUUUAGAAUUCAUUUUCAACACGCUCUUUACGUGUGAUACAUUUAUAAACUUACCACAUAAACAAUACAACAAGAUAUCGUGAAGUGUGUGUGCCCGUUUAACUUCACACAAGGACCAUACUUUGUUACCAUGAAAAAAAUUGAAAUUCCACCGUAAAAUCAAUUAGCAAUAUGGAGAUUGAUCCAACUUAUUGAAGUGGGUCUAUGUGUUUUUUUAUUAAUUUUUAAAUGCUUAAAAAUUAAUUAGAACGGUGAACGGCCGCAUAGCAUCUAAAAACUAAUCAGAAUGAUGACUAAGGGUCUAACGCUUAAGUGGGCUAGAUAGCAUUAAACGAGAAUUUUUAGAAUAAUGCCUCCAUAGCCCAUAAAAAAUUGUAUUUUGCUCCUCAUGUCAAACUGUUUAUGCUAAGAGCAACUCCAGUGUAGGAGCCCUCCCCCAGGCAAUUCACUAUUUAAUCCACCUAGUGAACAGUAACUGCCCUUAAUGAAUAGUGCAUUCCCCUGUCAAUUGCCUUUUGCAUCUCCACCCCUGCACUGAAUAGCCCUGGCAAUUGGCAAUAAAAUAUUAAUAUUUUUUUAUUUAUAAAAUAAUACAUAAUAAUUUUAUUUGUAAUUUCGGAUAAGAUUUUUAAUCGUUCUCGUUGCACCACGUGUCAUUAUCCGAAAAGCCAAUAGCAAUAAAAUUUUUGUAUUUUUGUAUUUAUAAAAUAAUUCAAAAUAAUUAUAUUUGUUAUUUCGGAUAAGAUUUUUAAUCGUUCUCGUUGCGCCACGUGUCAUUAUCCGCAAAGAAAAUUAUUGGUGAUGGAUUUCCGAUAAGAUUUUUAAUCGUUGUGUCAAGGCACGUGUCAUUAUCUGAAAAGACAAUUAUUGGUGAUGGAUUUCUGAUAAGAUUUUUAACCAAUCACGUCGUGCCACGUGUCACAAUCCGAUUACAAUCUUUGAGGAUAGAUUUCCACCAGAUUUUUAACGAAUGACGGCAUGCCACGUGGCAUUAUCUACAACCUAAUCCCUUCUAAAUCCUCCAUAUAAUCCCCCAUCCAUCCUCAUAAAUCUCACACCAAUUUUCUCAAGAUCUCUCUAUCAUUAUUCAUAGUUUCUGCUUCCUUCUUCGCCAAAAUCCCUAUCAUUAUUCAUAGUUUUUGCUUCCUUCUUCACCAAAAUCCCUAUCAUUAUUCAUAGUUUCUGCUUCCUUUUUACAAUGUCUUCUUCUUCUUCUUCAAAGAUGAUGUGGGAAAUCGAGCAAGAAGAGGAAGAAUUGUUUAACCAAUCACAAGGAAUGUUCAAUGUUAGGGAUUGGGCCCAAAAUGAGAUGGAAGAGGAUGACGAGCGUAGACGGAGAGAUGACGAAUCAAGAAUGGCAGGAGCCUCACAAUCCCGUCGAGUCGUCCAAGCUGUGGCUCAUAUCUGCAGGCCCAACCGUGCUGUAAAACAUUGAUAGAAACAGGCAACGACGAGGUCAGGAGCUCUUGGACGAUUAUUUUGUCCGUAACAGUGCAUUCCCUGAAACAUACUUCCGACGUCGUUUUAGAAUGGAACGACAUUUGUUCAACAAAAUCAUGGGCGCUGUUUGCAACCAUGAUUCUUACUUUGUGCAAAAGCCGGAUGCUUUUGGUGCUAUGGGUCUCCUGCCUCAGCAAAAAAUUACUGCUGCCUUGCGGAUGCUUGCAUAUGGAGCAGCUGCAGACCAAGUGGACGAGAUAACGAGGAUGGGACAAUCAACCAUUCUUGAGUCCCUCAUGAGGUUUUGUUCGGCAAUCGAAUCUAUCUACACCGCAGAGUACCUCCGGAGACCUACUCAUAUGGACUUGCAAAGGCUUCUGAAGAAAGGCGAGAUGCGAGGUUUUCCAGGGAUGAUUGGAAGCAUUGAUUGUAUGCACUGGACUUGGAAAAACUGUCCAAGUGCAUGGCAAGGCGCUUAUGGGGACAGAAAAGGAUCAAAAAGUAUCAUUUUGGAGGCGGUGGCAUCUUUUGAUACAUGGAUUUGGCACGCCUUUUUCGGGGUUCCGGGAGCUCAAAAUGACCUCAACGUCCUUGCCCAAUCCCCAGUGUUCAACGAUGUCCUGCAAGGAAAUGCACCAAAAGUCACGUAUGAGGUCAAUGGACGUAUGUACGACGGGCCAUACUACCUAGCUGAUGGCAUUUACCCAAGGUGGUCAACAUUUGUCAAAACAGUGCCACGUCCGCGCAGUGCAAAGGAAAAACACUUUGCAAGAUGUCAAGAAGGGUGCAGGAAGGAUGUGGAGCGUUGUUUCGGUAUCCUCCAAGCUCGCUGGGCGAUCAUCAGGGGUGCUGCCAGAUUGUUUGAUGUAGAGUCACUUCGAUCCAUCAUGAUGACGUGCAUCAUUCUUCACAACAUGAUUGUGGAAGAUGAGUACGAUUAUGAAGCCGUUGAUGAAUAUGAGCCAGACACGAUGAACAAUUCAAGAACACGUAUAUAUUGUGCUCAUGACGCCACCGAUGAGCCCGUGCAACAUGAGCCAUUAGAAAGGGAUGGACGUUACAAUGAAAGGAUCAUCCAACGAUAUACUGCACUUCAAAGGUCAAAUAUGCACAAUGCCCGCCAACUUGACUUGAUAGAGCACCAGUGGGAAUUGAGGGGUGCUGACGAUACUUAAGUUCAUUAGUGUUUGUUUUUAUUUGGUGUGUUUAUUUUAUUUUAUGUGGUGUGUUUUUUUUUAGUUCAUUUAGUGAGUUGAAAUGUAAUUUUAUUUUAUUUGGUGUUUGUUUUUUAUUUGGUGUGUUUAUUUUAUUUUUAUGUGGUGUGUUUUUUUAGUUCAUUUAGUGAGUUGAAAUGUAAUUUUAUUUUAUUUGGUGUGUUUAUUUUAUUUUAUGUGGUGUGUUUUUUUAGUUCAUUUAGUGAGAUGAAAUGUAAUUUUAUUUUAUUUGGUGUUUGUUUUUAUUUGGUGUGUUUAUUUUAUUUUAUGUGGUGUGUUUUUUUAGUUCAUUUAGUGAGUUGAAAUGUAAUUUUAUUUUUUUUGGUGUUUGUUUUUAUUUGGUGUGUUUAUUUGGUGUGUUGAUGUUAUUUUAUUUGGUGUGUUUAAAUGUGUUUUUGAAUAAAGUACUAAGUUCAAUAAAUUGGAAACAACAUAAAGUACUCUAUUCAAUGAAUAAGAAAUUACAACCCGAAUAAGAAAUUACAACCCGAAUUGAUUGGAAAAUUAUGGGUUCGUGAAUGGAUGAUAACCAUCACCUAACCAAUUUGUGGUGCUAGGAUGAUCUUCUCUUGUCAUGCUAGGAUAAUCUUCUCUUGUGGUGCUAGGACCAUCUCCUCUUGCUCUCGCUUCUCUUGCACGCCUCCUUCGCAACACAUCCGCUUUCUCUGACUUCCAAAAAAUAUUUAGAGUCUGGAGACUUCCCUUCUAAAGGCUCCUUCAUAAUGUCACGAUCUCGUUCAGCCAUUCUUUCUUCUCUUCUAUGUUCCCUUUCUUGCCGAAGUAGUUCUCUUUCUCUCUCAUCAGCUUCAAAUUUUCUCUCAAAAGCUGCAGCUUUUGCAUCCUCUCUAGCCUUAUCAGCCUCAAAUUUAGCCAUUUCCCGGGCCAAAUUCAAUUCACCUUGGCGGGCAAGAUCUUCCAUAUACUUUGCAUAAUCAUUCUUGGAAGCAUUACCUUUUCUCUUUGAAGCCUUCUUACCUUGAGGCCUAAUUGGAUAACGGGUCGACCCCGACGCUUGUUCAACGGGGGGCGUUUCAGGCACUUCUUCAUCAUCUUCAUCAUGAUCAUGCGAGGCAUGCUCAGGUGUAGAGUGUAGAGGGGUGCUGUUCAUGAAAACUUCUGGACCGACAUGCACAACUCUAAAUUUAGGACAAUCUUUGACAAUAUUCCAACAUUCAAACCGGGUGAAUGUUUUGUUUUUGCUUUUGGUUUUGGCACUAUACCAAGCUUGUGCUUGAAGUUCCUACACAAACAAAUAAUUAUAAUGAGAAUAGGUAACAAAUAAAUAAUUAUAAUGAAAGUAUGUAACAAAUAAAUAAUACAAACAAAUAAUUAUAAAUGAAAGUAGCUAACAAAUAAUUAUAAUGAAAGUAGGUAACAAAUAAAUAAUACAAACAAAUAAAUAUAAUGAAAGUAGCUAACAAAUAAUUAUAAUGAAAGUAGGUAACAAAUAAAUAAUACAACCAAAUAAUUAUAAUGAAAGUAGGUAACAAAUAAAUAAUACAAACAAAUAAUUAUAAUGAAAGUAGCUAACAAAUAAUUAUAAUGAAAGUAGGUAACAAAUAAUACAAACAAAUAAAUAUAAUGAAAGUAGCUAACAAAUAAUUAUAAUGAAAGAAGAUAACAAAUAAAUAAUACAAACAAAUAAAUAUAAUGAAAGUAGCUAACAAAUAAAUAAUAUAUUGUUACCUGAUCCGUUAAAUUUUCCCCACUUCGAAGAUUACCACUAGCUUGUGCCAAGGCGUCUCUCCACGUACUAAACGAUUGACUAAGUAAUUUCCAACGACUGGACAUCGAUUCCUUAGUUCUUUGCCCACCCAUUUUCUCAAGAUAAUUGGUAUGAAUAAGACUCCACAUUUCUCGCAACUGCAUCUCAUUACCCGUAAUCGAAUCAUGAGUAACUUGAACCCAACUAGUACACAACGCAACAUCUUCAAGAAGCGUCCAAUUCGUACCUGGUUGAGUAGUCAUUUUGUUGGAAAAAAAUUGGAUUGAAACUUUGAAAGAAAGAUAGGAAUGUGGUUGAAAGUAGUUGAGAAAAUAUGAAAUUGUGGUGUAGGGUAGAAGAUAAUGAGAAGGUAUUUAUAGGUGAAGUGAAAUCAAAAUUUUUUAUAAUUUUUCAUAAUUUUUUUUCGGAUUUUUAAGAAUUUUUUUACAUUUUUUUUUAAUUUUUAUUCACCUAAUUAAUCUCUGCCGUUGGAUUUAAAAAAAAUUUAAAUUCCAACACUCCAGAUUGUGCCACGUGUCACAACGGUAACAUUUUAGAUUUUUAAACUGUUUUUUCUUUUUUUUUUUUUAAUUUACAAAGCCUAAUAACGUGGACCGUUGAUCUUAGAUCAAACGGAUGAAAUUAAAUUAGAUUUUUAAAUGUUUUUUACCGUUGGAAAUCCAACGGCCCAUAAAAUAGGACCGUUUCAAUCAAACGGACAUGGGGAAGCCACGUGGCUUCCCCAACGGUAACUUUUCAAAACUGAAAUCGCGGGCCCCUGCCCUGUUUUUUUGUCGGACGACUCGCGCCCACGCGCGCGUGAAACGCACGCGCCUGACGCAGCCCUCGGGCUCUCGGGCUGGCAAUCCUCGACGGGCCUGCUCCUCGGGCCUCGCCUGUCGCUCGGGCUUCCAUACGCUGGAGGUCAUCCCCCCAGCAAUUUGCUACUGUUUGACCCACUGGCCCCCGAGCAACCUCCCCCGCUGGAGGUGCUCUAAGGAUACAGACUUGAAGAUUGUACCUCAUCUAACUAUUCAUCCAAAAGAAAAGAAAGUGGGCUCUACCGCAUAUAUAUCAAAUUUUAAUGAAAAUCAUGAAAACCCCAAAUCACAUCCUAACAUGAACCUAAAAAACCAAACAAUUAAUUAGAAUAAGAAACGACUCAGACAAUUUAAGUUACCUUCUUGUCAAUGAAAUCAGCCCAGAACCUUGAGUGAGCUUUCUGGUAAGGCUCAGAGGGAAGCAAAGGAGCUUUAUCCCUCCAAACCUCAUCAAUAUACUGCACAAUAAUGAGUGACUCGCAGACCGGCUUACCGUUAUGAAUGAGAACCGGGGUCUUCUUGUGAACCGGGUUCAUCUGCAGAAGCAUCUGGCUCUUAAUAUUAUUCCUCAAGUCCUCCUCUCUGUACUCAUACUUGACGCCCUUCUCCGCCAGCGCUACUCUGGCCCUCAUGCCAAACUUGCUGGCCCAGUAGUCUAGAAGAACAACCUCAUCCGCCAUUUUUGACACACACACAACUACUUCUAGCUGUAGGCUAUAGUGUUUUGCUUGAUGCUAAAAUAUUCCAGAUAGAUAUUCACACACACAUAUAUAUAUGGAAUCCGGAUUCUCGCUAGAUUUUUUUUUGUAAGAAUUUCUAAAUUUCGCAAAUACAAUAAACAUAUAUAAUUCAUAAUUUUUCAAGUUUCUUGUUAAAAGAAUCCGAAGAGGGUCGGUAAUAUAUUUACGUAUAUACACAUACGUGGCAAUAAGGGUGUGGCUGAUUUUUGAAGGGUGUGACGUGGCAUGCUGUAUGCCAUUACUUUCGGUGACGUGGCAUGCUAUAUGUGAAAAGCACGACAAAGUCAUGCAUGCAUUAUUUGUUUUGUUUUGGUUUUUUCAACCUUCAACUUUAUUUGAUGGUAACAAGCAACAUUAUUUAAAUAAAUAAUGUUUGAAAUAUGCGAUGAGUUACUUUCAGUCAACAAUGGCAAAUUCAAGAUUUGAAUAAUUGGGGUUUCAAUGUUAAAGAUUAAUUUUGUAAUAAAAGAAAUUACACUGUACGAAUGUGUAGUGUUUGAAUUCAAAUUUCACUUUAUUUAUGAAAGUGCCAAGUAGGGGGAGAAAAACCUUUUUACAAAGAGUCUACAGCUUUAUGUGAAAAGCACAACAAAGUCAUGCAUGCAUUAUUUGUUUUGUUUUGGUUUUUUCAAUGGAAUUUUAUCGAAAAAUUUAUGGUACUGUUCAUUUAACGAAAAACUAUAUUUUUACAUUAAAAAAUUAAUCAUGGUACUAUUCACUUAUAACACUUUUUUGUCAUUUUCGUUAAAAGUUAAAAUUUUCAAACUAUUUUCAUUAGUUUUUUUUUUUUUCAACCAUCAACUUUAUGUGAUAGUAACAAGCAACACUAUUUAAAUAAAUAAUGUUUGAAAUAUGCGAUGAGUUAUUGUUAGUCAAUAGUGGUAGAUUCAAGAUUUGAAUAAGGGGUGUGAUAUCCACACAUCAUUUUUACUUCUCUCACAUCCUUUUAAUUUUCGACAGUCGAAUCAGAUGAAUUAAAGAAUAUCAAAUGACGGAAAUUAACAAAUGAUGUGUGGAUAGCACAUCCCUUAAAUAAUUAGGGUCACAAUCAGGGCCGCCCCAGGCCCAGUGCAAGCAGGGCGACCGUCCGGGGCCCAAAAAAAUUAGGGGCACCAAAAUUAUUAGGACGGUAUAUUUAUAUAUGUUUUUAUAAGAGUAUAAAUUUAUAAAAUUUGGUUCAAAGACAUAGAAAUUUAACUAGAAAUGGUGGUUUGUCAUUUGAAAAUAAUGAGAAGGUCUUGGGUUCAAAACACCAUGUGUGCUUAUUUACUCUCCAUUUUUUACAAAUUUCUUUUUAUAAGAGUAUAAAUUUAUAAAAUUUGUUUAAAUGAUCAAGAAAUUUAAUUAGAAACAAUGAUUUUUAUUGUUUAAAAUUAACAAGAGGUUCUAAGUUUGAAAUGCUAUGUGCAUGUUUAUUCUUUUCAAUUUUUUAAAAUUUUUGUUUGAUUGUUAAUUUAUUUUUAGUUACUAUCUAUUAGCUAUGUGGGUUGUUAUUUUUAAAUAUUUGUUUUCAUUCAAGUCUAAUCUUCAACAAAGAGUAAUAUGUAGACCAAAUUUCCAAAUUAUAAGACGUGUCAUCAAAAUGUUUAAUUUAGUGCCCAUUCAUUAAUAAUACAUAUCAAUUAAAGACUCGAGAACAUCAUUAUUUUUAGUACCAUAUUGAUAAGGUUAGUAAAUAAGAAAAAAAAAACACCUCACAAUUUAUUCAAAAACACAUUCAAAGUUCAGAUGGAAAACAAAACUCAUCAUCUAUCUACUUGUAAGCCCGAAGUUUUUUUGUUUCCCUCUCUCAAUACAAAAUAAAUUAGUCUUUCUGUGUUUCUAAAUUAUUGAAUUUGAAGUGUUUUUCUAAGUAUAAUUUUAUCGAUGUCUUAUGUGUGAAAAUAAAUAAUUUUCUUACAUGAAGUUAGAGCACUUUUUUUGACGUCGCCCCGAGCCUCAAAAAUCUAUGGACCGGCCCUGAUCACAAUAUUAAAGGUUAAUUUUUUAAUAAAAAUAGAGCAAAGUGUGCAAAAAAUUUUAUUCACUGAGUCAUUGCUUAAAAAGGGUAGGAGACAGAGACACACUUUUCUUUUUCUUUUUUUAUUAAUUUUUUUCUUUUCUUUUUCCACAUUUCAAUAUUUAAAAAAAAAUUGUAAUAUAAUAUCCAUAGAUUCGACCAACCGACGCCUCAGAGGUUGAAGGAAGGAAGAUGCCAUCAUCCAUCAAAGAAAACCUCUCCGAAUGCAGCCACCAGGUAGAAAAAACGAAGGAAGCUAGUGGGAUCCCCAUUUGCGACAUUGCCAACAAAGGCAGACCAAGAGAAGGAGGUGGUGCGAACAACCGUGCCGAUGGGAACACCAGAGCUCUACACAUCCUUUCGAUAUACCACAACAGAUUGCGGUUGAAAGUGAUGGCAAAUCGGCUAAGGUAAGGUAUUGAUGAAAGAUGGAGCCUAUGUUUAUUGUUUAGGACCGAUUUGCAUGAAUAUUUCUCAACAUUUAUACGAUAUAGAGAGAUAGUGGGAGAGGGGAGACAGAGCGACAAAGAAAGAGGAUUAUUGCUUUUUGUCUUAUUAUUUUUAUAAAAAAAUAAAUAUAAAAGGUUAACGUCGUGAACGUACAAAAUAAGGGACGAGAGGGCAGAGAAGCGGGAGGGCAGAGAAGCCGGGUCUGAGGGAGGAGAGGGGAUCCUCGAUUUCAUGAGUGGGAAAGGGGGUACAGUCAGAGAAAAGCAUGGGGUUAGGGAUUUCAGAUUUCAAGGGGGGAGAGAGGCUGUGCUUCGUUUCGAUGGGGCCGAGCGUCUAUGAUUCGAUCGGAUCGAGGUGAUGGGGACAACGUGAGGGGUUGAGGUGGCGUCGGGAAGGUAUGUCGUUUUUUUCUUCCCCUUCUAAUUCUCAUCUUCAGUUCACGUUGCUGAUGCAUAAACCCAUCAGUUCCUCUGUAAUUCGUUUAGUUUUUCAUUAUUCUUCUUCGAUUUCUUUUGUCAAAAUUGAAAUGGAAUUUGUUGGCUUGAUUUUGUAUUAGGUUGCGAGAGGGUUCUGUUUCUAGGGUUUUCUCCGUCUACCUCUCUGUUUCUCUUCUUCAAUCAGUCUGACGUAGUUUUGCAAUUUAGGGUUCAGUGCAUUUCAAUCUUUUUUACUGGAAUAUACAUACAUAUAAAUGUCUAAAUUUGUUCAAUUUUUCUAUACACAGGACUGGGUUAAUUUGAUUCUUCACCUAUGAUUGGAUAUUAUAUUACAAUUGUGGGUUCUGUUUUGAGGGCUGGAUGAAAAGAAACACCCAUCAGAGCUUCUAACAACUCGAAGGUAAGGAAUUCCAUCGCGUUUGUUGAAAAUAUUUUUCACUUUCUGGAUGUGCAAAGUCUGGAUAGUACACAUCACCGGGCCAAACCUUUCCCAGGAAAGGAAUUCCAUCGCGUUUGUUGAAAAUAUUUUUCACUUUCUGGAUGUGCGAAGUCUGGAUAGUACACAUCACCGGGCCAAACCUUUCCCAGGAAACGAAUUCCAUCGCGUUUGUUGAUAAUAUUUGCUUCCUUUCAUCUGAUGUAUGUGUAUGUAUGAUGUAUGUGUGUGAUUUUAGAUUGUAAUGUAUCACAAAUUUAUGGCAUGAAAAUUGACAUUUGUAGACUUACCCUUUGUUUGGUGGCUGUGAUAAUUGGGGGAAAGGAAAAUAAAAUUUCAAAGAUUGAUACUUUUAUGUGAUUUCCUGGCUCUUUUUUUUUUUUCAUAUGAUUUUCAUUGUAUGUGUGCCAGUGUAUGUCUCUUCUUGAAACGUACAUGUUGAAAAUGGGAGAAUUUUGGACAUGACAUGUUUAGAAGUGAGGUUUUCUGAAUGAAGAUACUCUUAUGAUUUUUUUGUAAUUUGUUUUGCAAAUGGGUAGGAAUAUCAUUCUAAAAGGAUUUUGGCAGGAGGGGUGGAAUGUCAUUCUAAAAUAUGUGUAAUUCAAUUCUCUCAUUUUCUAUAGCAGAAUUGCAGAUUUCUAAAUCGGAAAGGAAAAACAAGCACUAUAGCAGUUUAUGCAGAAGGAGCAUGUAAAAGAGAAGCACAAGUAAAGGUUUCUAAGGUCAGUUGGCUGUUUUCUUUUUAGUAUUUUCAAUUUGUUCCUUUUAUUCUGUCUGCAAUUUUUUAAUCUGUGGUUAUGCAUCAAUUUCUCUGCUUCUUCUUUGUAAAUCUUGCAGAUCAGGAUGACACACCUAUCGGGGCAAUGUCGGGAUGUUUAGGCUUAGGUGGAGACGUGGACUUAUGGAAGAGGUGAAGUAGCUUAGCUCUCUGUCAUUAGCUUUAUCUGUUCUAUGCAUCUCUACAAUCUUACAAUGAUCUUUUAUUAAAUUGCAAGAUGUUGGGACCAGUUACUGGAAUACGAGAUAUGGAACAAAAGUGGUUGACAAUGCAAGAGUCGAAACCAAGUGUGAAAUUCACAUUGAAAAUGACAGGUGAGAAUGCUUAAUCAUAUUCUAAAAAAAUGUUGGGUUUCCUAAUGAGUUCUCUGAAUUCAAAAGGCUAAUUUAGUGAUUUGGAGUUAAUUUUGUAAAUUUAUUGAAUGAAGUCAUUUGUUAUUUAGCUUAUCUUGCGUUUGGUUUGGUUUGGUUUUAGGAGAGGGUUGCGCAUGAUCUAUAGGUUCAAUCAACCUCGCUGUUUUUGUGAGAAUCACAAUUAAAGGUCAGUUUUUCCAACAUUUUUUUUUUCUUUUGCGUGCAUGUUUGUGCAUGUUUGGUCUCUGAGAUUUUGUUUUUAGUCACCGUUGAUUUGUAAUUUAUGUCUCCCUUUGGCUACAUAUUGACACAGGUUUAUUCUCAGCAUUUUUUUGUUAGGGUAAGUGGUUUGGUGAGUUCUGUAUUAUUAUAUAAUCUUUGGGGCUAUUUUAAGUAAAAAUGAAAUGUUGACAUUGAUAUAGCAUACGGCACACUUAAUUCACACUCCUAUAUUCGGUCUUCAUGUUUCCAUUUCAACACUCUGCAUUUCCCACCCAAUGAAUUUUUUAAUAAAGACGUAGUUAAAGCAAUUACAUGCUCUAUCAAGUAUGUUUUAUAUGUAGUUGUGGUAGUUGCAAGGAAAUGAAAUAUUUGUGCUGAUAAUUGGUAGUUUAAAUAUAUAGAAAUAAAGAAUAAUUAUAAAUGGAGCACCAAGGAUAUUUAACAUUGUUUUCUUUUCCAUGUAAUUUUUCUCAUGUUUAACAUCUGCUUUUGCUUAUGCAUUUGAUUCAAGUGCUAUUUUUAUUAGUGUUAAUUUUGGGUUGCAUAUCCACAUACUAACCCAGUUAAUUUUGCUUGGUGUUGAUGCAUAAGGAGAACUCCCAUUGCAUCAACUUGAACAAACAUUCUUCUACUUAGUUGCUUAGCUGCUGAAACAACAACGAAACACUUUUUAUGUUUUUUUGUUUAACUGCUAAUACAGGUGGCUGGCCUGCAUGGCAUAUAUUUUGCCAUCUUAACUUCAAGGGUAAUAUAUGUGUAAAAUGCAUGUUGCUUAGGGAAACAGAGCAUUUUUUUUUGCAACCACAUCUUUUUGUAAUUAGCUCGGUUGAAUGUAUAUAAAAGUCAAGCUGCUUAUCUUACCGACACCGUUCACUCAUCUAUCCCUUUUGUUAGUUCAUGAUUAUGUUGAAUUUUUUUCAGGUUAAAUUUGUCUUAUUCAUGUAGUUAAGGUUGGUGUAUUUAAGUAGAAAUGUCGGGCAUAUUUACUAGUAUAAUCUAAAAACGGAACGGGGGACAUGCAUGCAUUUUUUGUGCGUGUAAUUUCUCAACUUCUCUUUGGUGGUGCAGGUGCUGCUGAAGCUAAUAGGCUUGAGCAAUGCUCCUUCAACAAAACAAGGAAAAAAGAGUUGUUCAAAUGGCAGUAUUCGAGUCUCUUAGUGUUUCUCAUUAAUAUUAUCAUUCUAAACGCACCAAUAACAUUAUCAUUUCCUGAUGCUAUAAUGCCCCAAAUAUUUUGAUUAAAAGUGAUGAACUGCAUAACCAAACGACAUUUACCUUCUAAUUUCCAUCAAAGAGCAACUUGUUAUUAACUCUGUCAAGUUUCUGCCAAGGGGAUUGCACUCUUCAACAUGGGAAGGAAACCUUCUGCUAGUAGCCAUGCUAAAUUAACACAAGCAACCAGGAAUUUGACUUGGUGGUGGGUAUGAACCAUUUACACUAAUUAAUCAACUGGCAGGAGGCAAAACUCUGCAUGAUUUUUAUUUUAUUUUUUGGUAAAUGAAUAAUUUUGCAUGUUAUCUCAAGAUGUGAGAUCAGUACUAGUUGGUUAAAUAUUGUUGAAUUGUAUAACACAAGCACUGUUCUAAAAAUCCCCGCCUAGGACCUGCUUAGGCGUUAGGCGGCUGGUCAUCGUCCCGAUUAAUGCUUAGAUGUUUAAGAAAAAAAAAAAAGGCGUCUAGACUUGUUUAGGUGCCCGCCUAGUCCGUCCAAACCCGUCUAGACACCAGCUUAGGUUGCUACUUGUUUACACAGAAAAUAGAUAAUUUUCAUUUGUAUUUUAUUUUUUUUUCAAUAAAUUAUAAGAGACUUAUUGAAUACUUAAAUGAACACAUAUUAUAUGCUUGUUCUCUAUGUUUUCAUUAUGUUCCAAUACCUCAUAAUAUAUAUGUUAUUUUAUUUUGUAGUUUAUGAUGAAAUUAUAUUUUAAAUAUAAACAGACGUUUAUUUACACGAAAUAUGAUAGAUUUACUUAAAUUCACUUAGGCGUUAGAUUCUAAACCGCCGUCCAAUUAGCGCCUAGCGUAUUUUAAAACCUUGAACAUAAGAUAGAAAAUAAGUAAAUAAUGCAGAAUACAAGAGGAUCAUAUGAUCCAGCAAGGAAAUUUUACAAAUGCAUAUCAAUUCACCAUUGGAUCAGUCUAGAUGUCGAUGGUACAGGUCUGCAAAACCUAAUUCCUGAUAACCAACAAUUUAUGACUGGAAGUUCUAGGAUGAUCGUAGUGACAAAUUAAAAGUCCAGUUCAAAGUCCAGUUCAAGUUCAAUUUUCAAUUUAACUUCCACAUGCACAUCACAUACCAAACUAUUUUACACAUAUGCAAUUAAAAAGAUAAAUAAAAUGUGCACACAAGAUGUAGGAUUUAACGAGGUAAAAUCCUGAAAAAAAUCUUUAGGCUCCUAAGCCAAGACAAACAGUACUAAGACAAAUGAAUUCAAAAGAUUUACAAAACUCAUCUUACUAGACUCACAACAAGAAAACAAUUUUGUCUCUACACUUUUGCUACUCGAUCUCUCCAAUCCUUGAGUGGGAGUGGCACAAUACUAAUGCGUCCGUCAAUCACUAUAUUCUCAAACUUUGCAGAAUACUAACUUAAUAAUGUAGAAUUUAUGUAUGAUGAAAUAAUUUUUGAAGAGCAAUCAAUUAUGAAAGUUACAAAGCACAUUUUUAUAAUUGAGUUUUACUUAAUGCAGGAAAAACCAAUGAUCAAAAACUAAUUUUUUUUUUCUAAAAACGAACGGCCGGCUGCAAAACCGGUUUUUAUUCUCUCAAAAUACUUUGAAAAAUGGACUCUUUGCAUACGGGCUGCUAUCAGAUUUUUCUUUCAUUAAUUUAAAAACUCAUUACAGGCCAAUUGUAGGGUAAAAAAACUGGAUUAGAGUGGUUCUUCUAGCAAAUAGGAAAGAGACUAUAGGGUGCAAAAGAAAUGGUGUAUGGUACUUGCAUUAGCAUGGUGCGCCUAUAAAUAUUUGGUCACUAGUUCAUCAAAAUUAUGCGGAGGGAAGUUGAAUUCGGGCGUAAAGGAAAGAGUGCAUUGCUCUAGCCAAUUUGAUUAAGCUUAAAUAUGCGAUAAUAUACUAAUCACGACAUCUGGAUGGUGCGUGAGUAAUAAAUACAAUGAGUUGACACACCAUAAGACUAAUAGACACACAUCAACAUUAAUUAUACGACUUACGUGCGGUAUGGACGGUUAUCUGUUGCGCAACUCUCAAAGUAAGUGAAAAACAAUACAGAUAUACAAGAUAAGUUUCCAUAAAGAUUCAUGAAUUGAGUUUACUGACUCGACAAAAAAAUCUUCAUUUUUGUUUUUGGAAAUUAAAAUAUAAAUCUUUAUGGCUUAACUCCGAUUCAUAUACAUUCAAAUUCACAGAAAAAUCCCUCACAAAAUCACAUCUCUUCCAAAACUGCUGCUGCUGCACUACCUAUUUAUACAAACUUCAAUGAAUUUUCACCUUUACCCCCACAACCAAUUCGUUCGUUUCAAACUUGACUACUUUUACUGACCAAUUUGUUACUGAAAUACUGAUAGUAAUUGCUGUUACUGUGGCUAUUAUUCUUGCAAUUUGAUGAUCGAGUCUUCACAAAUGAUAAUGGACUCAAAUUUGAGUCCUCAAUUUAUGAUAAUGGACUCAGAAAUUGACCUAGAGAGACUCACAUUUGACUCUCACUAUUUUUAAUUAUUCAUUUAUAUGUAUGAGGUCAAUUAUUUUUUUCCUCCAAUGACAAUGGAGGAGCAUUUGAGUCCCCAACUUUAUAAUGCACCAUACCAGAUCAUGUCCAAAAAGGUUGUUAGUGGACCUGCACCAAAUAUUGAUUUCCACCCUUGGACUCAUACAUCUAGACUCUUUCUCACACAAGAUUCGAAAGACGCAUCAAAGUUUCUCACCAUAAUAUCUCACUAGAAACUAAAACAAGAUACAUAAAGGAAAGAAAUUAGACGAAUUAAACUGGACACAGCUUGAGACUUCACUCUAGGACUUCGACAUUCUAGCUAGCAGCCUAUCGAUAUCUCCCCCUCUAUUCCACACCAAGCAUCUUCUUAAUGCUAAGAACGAACUCAUACACCUUCUUUUCGUCAGCAAGGGAUUUGGAAACACUCUCCCUCUGCUUGCACCGCUUGGCCCAUGCAAUGAGCUUGGGACACUCGGCCUCGAUGCUGAAGUUUCCACAGGUCUCAUAUGCAUGGAACCAGCUGUAGAACGUGAUGAGAGCAAUGUCCAAGAACCCAAAUUUCUCACCCUCAAAAUAUGGCUUGCCUCCCAGCUGUCCCUCCAGCUGCUUCAGGAUUUCGAUGAAGUCCUUUUUAGCUGCC
This 15433-nucleotide long non-coding RNA is filed under the name Malus domestica (apple). Its description in RNAcentral is "long non-coding RNA (MDOM_LNC009523)". The record is from RNAcentral. Lineage: Eukaryota; Viridiplantae; Streptophyta; Magnoliopsida; Rosales; Rosaceae.